UCUUAGGGAUUAAUUAAUUUUGAAAUGCAUCAUGCGUACCUGCCUCAUAGAACAAUGAUUCAAUGAACAAAUCAAUUUUUCCAUGGGACCUUUUACGCAUAUGAAUUCGUGAAAGCAUGUCGGACUAUUCGUAUACCAGACUAGUGAUCAUUUCAUUACUUGGAGAUUCAACCCCAUUGUAUUUUUGCCCCUCUUGUUUCCAGAUGGCAAUACCGACAUCGCAGUUCGCCCUGAUGGAGGACCUCAAAGCCACAGAGAUUUAGGAAGUUGAACAUGGCAGAUGGAGUAUCUAAGGUGGAGAGCCGUUAUCCUUGUAGGAUAUAUUUUCAAACCUCCUUCAGUAGGAGUUACUCGUGCUUGCAAGUUCUGUAGAGUCCCCUUGGUGUAGGCUGAGAUAAGUGAUGGGAUACUUGAGUGCUUACUGCUAAGUAUUGGCAAAAUUUUGUUAUAGUUUCGAAAGUAA
This is a long non-coding RNA of Panicum virgatum (switchgrass), 463 nucleotides long. RefSeq lists it as uncharacterized. The record is from RefSeq and is a predicted model, not a curated record. Lineage: Eukaryota; Viridiplantae; Streptophyta; Magnoliopsida; Poales; Poaceae. The transcript has 2 exons.